RNAcentral lists this ribosomal RNA (431 nucleotides) under uncultured bacterium. RNAcentral's name for it is "partial 16S ribosomal RNA". It matches the Rfam family "Bacterial small subunit ribosomal RNA", at positions 29 to 507 of the family's 1533-position model. The record is from RNAcentral.
AACGAACGCUGGCGGCAGGCUUAACACAUGCAAGUCGAGCGCCCCGCAAGGGGAGCGGCAGACGGGUGAGUACCGCGUGGGAACGUACCUUUUGGUUCGGAACAACUCCGGGAAACUGGAGCUAAUACCGGAUAAGCCCUAACGGGGAAAGAUUUAUCGCCGAAAGAUCGGCCCGCGUCUGAUUAGCUAGUUGGUGAGGUAACGGCUCACCAAGGCGACGAUCAGUAGCUGGUCUGAGAGGAUGAUCAGCCACACUGGGACUGAGACACGGCCCAGACUCCUACGGGAGGCAGCAGUAGGGAAUAUUGGACAAUGGGCGCAAGCCUGAUCCAGCCAUGCCGCGUGAGUGAUGAAGGCCUUAGGGUUGUAAAGCUCUUUUGUCCGGGAAGAUAAUGACUGUACCGGAAGAAUAAGCCCCGGCUAACUUCGUG